GUGCAAAUGAUGAGAACAUAACAGUAUGAAAAUGAUGAUACUGUAAACGCUUUCUGAUGUA
This is a small nucleolar RNA of Anolis carolinensis (green anole), 61 nucleotides long. NCBI's taxonomy places the organism in Eukaryota, Metazoa, Chordata, Lepidosauria, Squamata, Anolidae. The record is from Ensembl.